UCGAGAAUAAUUCACAAUGGGGGCAACCCUGAUGGUGCAACGCCGCGUGGAGGAUGAAGGUCUUCGGAUUGUAAACUCCUGUCAUCCGGGAGUAAGACCUGACGGUGAAUAGCCGGCAGGGUUGAUAGUACCGGAAGAGGAAGGGACGGCUAACUUCGUGCCAGCAGCCGCGGUAAUACGAAGGUCCCGAGCGUUGUUCGGAAUCACUGGGCGUAAAGGGAGCGUAGGCGGCGUGGCAAGUCAGACGUGAAAUCCCGGGGCUCAACCCCGGAACUGCGUCCGAUACUGCCAUGCUUUGAGGGUUGGAGAGGUAGCUGGAAUUCUUGGUGUAGCAGUGAAAUGCGUGGAUAUCAAGAGGAACACUCGUGGCGAAAGCGAGCUACUGGACAACACCUGACGCUGAGGCUCGAAGGCCAGGGGAGCGAAAGGG
RNAcentral lists this ribosomal RNA (430 nucleotides) under uncultured bacterium. Its description in RNAcentral is "bacterial SSU rRNA". It matches the Rfam family "Bacterial small subunit ribosomal RNA", at positions 355 to 776 of the family's 1533-position model. The record is from RNAcentral.